This 713-nucleotide ribosomal RNA is filed under the name Simocephalus vetulus. RNAcentral's name for it is "partial 16S ribosomal RNA". It matches the Rfam family "Bacterial large subunit ribosomal RNA", at positions 1839 to 2730 of the family's 2925-position model. Lineage: Eukaryota; Metazoa; Arthropoda; Branchiopoda; Diplostraca; Daphniidae. The record is from RNAcentral.
GGUCGUGAGACGGGUACCGCCUGCUCAUGCUUUAAGUAAAUAGCCGCAGUAUUUUGACUGUGCUAAGGUAGCAUAAUCAUUAGUCUCUUGAUUAGAGGCUGGUAUGAAUGGCGUGACGAGAAAGUAGCUGUCUCAUAAUAAAUAAUUGAAUUUCAUUUCUUAGUGAAAAAGCUAAGAUUGUUUUGAAGGACGAUCAGACCCUUUGGAGCUUUAUAAUUUCUUUUAUGUAUAUUUAUAUUAAAAAAUAAUUUAAUAGAAAUUAUUUCGUUGGGGCGACGAAGAGUUUAAAAGUAACACUCUUUUUAUUAAACAUAAAUAAAUGUAUAAUUGAUCCUUAAAGCAAGAUUAAAAGAUUAAGUUACCCUAGGGAUAACAGCGUAAUCUUUUUAGAGAGUUCAUAUCGAUAAAAAGGUUUGCGACCUCGAUGUUGGAUUAAGAAAUUAGCAAGGUGCAGAAGUUUUGCUGGAAAGUCUGUUCGACUUUUAAUUUCUUACAUGAUCUGAGUUCAGACCCGGAGGAAUGUUCCCCCUUCUAUUAUCCUACAGGAUACCAGUUUUUGUUGGGUCAAUUUUUAUACUUUUAAUUGGUCGUAACUUGAAUACUUCUUUUUUUGUUGCAGUGGGGGGGUGGGGAUUUUUUUUUGUACGAGCAUUUAUUUUGGUUUUUUGGCCCUCUGGAGCUUUUUUUUUCUUUUGUUUUUUUGUUCUUUCUUG